GCAAUAGCCGUCAUUUCAACGUCUGGGUUAAAUAUAGACCAGAUAUAGUCCGGCUAUGUGUAACCCACUUUUAGCCCAAAUAACAUUUAAUCUGGAUAAAUGUAUUUUUUUUGCAAAAUAACUUGUGAGAUGUAUGAUAUUCCAUCAUGUACGCAGAGUCUAACGUGAUUACAAGUUGUUUGGUUUACUUUAUUUUACAUGUUAUAUGUGUAGGCUGUGCGUAGCCACGAUUUAGCUCGUAUUCAGACCCGGCUAUUGUAGCCCACUUUUUGUCAAAACUGAUUAAUUGUAUUUUUUUGCCAGGCAGUGCAUGAAAUGGUUAAUAUUCAAUCAUGUUCGCAUUGGUAUGAUAUCAAGGUUCAAUACGUCAUUUCACGGCAUGGUAGAUCACGAUUUAGCUCCGAAUUGGACGGGCUAUAUGCGGUCUGCUUUAGCCCACCUGGCGAAAUUAUUGCAAUCUGGGCUCAGAUAUAGACCAGCGACCUAGAAUAUUAGUCUUUGAAAUGUUUUCGCUUACACAGCUUAAUAUAUAUUUUCUGUCAAACAUUCAUACACAAUCUACGAUAAAAAUAUCUAAUCAAAUGCAAUUGCAUUUCCCAACCGCUAGAUGGCACAAUUGAAACACUACUGAGACAUGUCUACUGGAACUAAUGCCAUUGCGUGACUAGAUCACUUAAGCCAAAUCUCGCGAUAAACAUUUCCGCCAUUUUAUUUUACACGAGGCAGCUGUCGGAGUGCAACGGGUGAGCAACAGUCUGAGUGAAAACCUUCACAUUUCUACUUCGAUCUUAAGAAAGCCAUACAGGUUUGGAACCAAGUGAAAACGCAGUGAUGACCAGCUUUCCAUCAGCUAUGGAAUGUGAAAUAAAAAAUGCUAUUUCUAAUCAUUUCAAACAAGCACCAGGGAGGG
Long non-coding RNA from Carassius auratus (goldfish), 910 nucleotides. RefSeq lists it as uncharacterized. NCBI's taxonomy places the organism in Eukaryota, Metazoa, Chordata, Actinopteri, Cypriniformes, Cyprinidae. The transcript is spliced from 3 exons. The record is from RefSeq and is a predicted model, not a curated record.